Molecule: ribosomal RNA, 445 nt
Filed under: Veillonella parvula
Lineage: Bacteria; Bacillati; Bacillota; Negativicutes; Veillonellales; Veillonellaceae
Description: bacterial SSU rRNA
Rfam family: Bacterial small subunit ribosomal RNA
Source: RNAcentral
GACGAACGCUGGCGGCGUGCUUAACACAUGCAAGUCGAACGAAGAGCGAUGGAAGCUUGCUUCUAUCAAUCUUAGUGGCGAACGGGUGAGUAACGCGUAAUCAACCUGCCCUUCAGAGGGGGACAACAGUUGGAAACGACUGCUAAUACCGCAUACGAUCUAACCUCGGCAUCGGGGAAAGAUGAAAGGUGGCCUCUAUGUAUAAGCUAUCACUGAAGGAGGGGAUUGCGUCUGAUUAGCUAGUUGGAGGGGUAACGGCCCACCAAGGCGAUGAUCAGUAGCCGGUCUGAGAGGAUGAACGGCCACAUUGGGACUGAGACACGGCCCAGACUCCUACGGGAGGCAGCAGUGGGGAAUCUUCCGCAAUGGACGAAAGUCUGACGGAGCAACGCCGCGUGAGUGAUGACGGCCUUCGGGUUGUAAAGCUCUGUUAAUCGGGACGAAA